Bolinopsis microptera is the source of this 535-nucleotide long non-coding RNA. RefSeq lists it as uncharacterized. NCBI's taxonomy places the organism in Eukaryota, Metazoa, Ctenophora, Tentaculata, Lobata, Bolinopsidae. The record is from RefSeq and is a predicted model, not a curated record. The transcript has 3 exons.
CAAGAGAAAAGAAGGGAAUCUGGAUCCUUCGUCGGAUCGUCACAGAGCUUAGAGGGGAGCUCUACGCUUCACUGGCCAUGCAAAGCAGGGAGAGUGACGGAGGCGGAGGCACUGCUGGCUGCUGGAGCGGACAUUAACAAGCUGGACAGAGCGCAGUUGAACCCUUUCAUGGACGCGAUCAACUCAGGACAGGUCGACUGUGCUAGAUGGCUGCUGAGGCAAGACGGUUGAAAGCUCCAGCCCGAGAUAUGGUCGUUUUGUAGGGAGAGGGGGCUAGAGUCAGUGCUAACAGCUUAACAGAAGCAAGGUACGGAGAGCGAUCCAUGGCUGUCCCGAUAGACCCACUCAGACUCCUGCCGGAAGAUACUCCUCCGGUUGAUCCAGAUGAGACAGUUCUAGCAGAUGAUCAGUUACAGACUGAAGAACAUAUCCCACAGAUCAAUGCGUCAACAUCUGCAAAUGAAGGUACUUCAAUCUGCUCUUCUUGUAUAUGUCUUUGUGCCUGCGUCUGUGAUUGUACUGAAGUGUACUCUGU